RNAcentral lists this long non-coding RNA (805 nucleotides) under Homo sapiens (human). Its description in RNAcentral is "HSALNT0084075". The record is from RNAcentral. Lineage: Eukaryota; Metazoa; Chordata; Mammalia; Primates; Hominidae.
UGGAAAUGUAAAGGAUCUAGAAUAACCAAAAUAAUUUUGAGAAAGAACAAAGUUGAAAGAUUUAAAAUUGUUGACUUCAAGAGUUACUAAAAACCUAUAGUAAUCAAGAGAGUAUGGUGUUGGUAUAAGACAAGAAAGAUCAACAAAAGAAAUAAAAAGUCCAGAAAUAGACGUUCACUUAUAAGAUCAACUGAUUUCUCAUAAAGGUGUCAUAGCAACUUAAUGGGGGAAUUAAUGAUUUUGAAUAAAUGAUGCUGGAAUACCUGGAUAUCUGUGGAUAAAAGAGGCAUUUAUGUAAUUCCACUUGCUCAUUGAAUUCAAAUGCAAUCAGAAUUUGUAAGGAAAGCCAAUGGACUUGACAUGAAAAGGUGACGUUGCUGAAACCCUUUCAGUGGAGUUUACGGACAGAAGGUAGAAUGUUGAGGUUUGAGGGGGUGGAAGUGGCAAUGAGGAUGCUGAGAAGAGACGAUCGUCAGGAAGUGAGGCAGUGAAGCAAUCACUAAGGAAGCAAAGUAGAUUGGAACUCAGACAACAGAGCUGUGAUGGGACCUUUUUAUUCACGAUGAGAGCUCAACAAUUUCAAGAUGAAGGGAGGGCUGAGAGGCAGAAGGAAGAUCGCUGAUGGCUCUCAUGAGCCCAGCAGAGAGGAGGAUAUGCUGUCUGUACUAAAGCCAGAAGGCUUGGGAAUGGAGAGAACUACUCCUGCCUCAGAGUAGCAGAGAACGAGGAAGGAGACAACCAUGGAAACCUGCAGAUGGAGCAGUCAGGCAGAGAACAGAGACUCUCAGCUGAAGCUGAGACAGCU